CCUACGGGUGGCAGCAGUGGGGAAUAUUGCACAAUGGGGGAAACCCUGAUGCAGCAACGCCGCGUGAGUGAAGAAGUAUUUCGGUAUGUAAAGCUCUAUCAGCAGGGAAGAAGAUGACGGUACCUGAAUAAGAAGCCCCGGCUAACUACGUGCCAGCAGCCGCGGUAAUACGUAGGGGGCAAGCGUUAUCCGGAUUUACUGGGCGUAAAGCGCUCGUAGGCGGGAUGUCAAGUCAAGGGUGAAAUCCCCGCGCUCAACGUGGGGACUGCCUUUGAAACUGGCAAACUGGAGUGUGUGAGAGGAUAGUGGAAUUCCGGGUGUAGGAGUGAAAUGCGUAGAUAUCUGGAGGAACAUCAGUGGCGAAGGCGACUAGCUGGCACAUAACUGACGCUGAGGAGCGAAAGCGUGGGUAGCAAACAGGAUUAGAUACCCUGGUAGUC
This 440-nucleotide ribosomal RNA is filed under the name uncultured bacterium. RNAcentral's name for it is "partial 16S ribosomal RNA". It matches the Rfam family "Bacterial small subunit ribosomal RNA", at positions 338 to 795 of the family's 1533-position model. The record is from RNAcentral.